AUAUCCCAAAGGAAACACAGUAUUGCUUUAUCCCUGUUGUCCGAAUGGUGUCGGUAUUCCAUUGUCUUGGCGUUGGUUAACUCAUACAACACCUGUUACUUGGAUUUAAGACAAAUAGGGAAAUUCUUGCGCGUCAGCAAAUAUUAUGGACGCUUAUCUUUUCCAACAAACCCGUUCUGCGGGAGACGUCGAGCCGGAAAUGAGUACGGCAAUUUCUUUCAAGUCGAAUUGUAAAAUACCCCGAUAUAUUGGCCGGAAGAAGGCGACCAGAGGUUGCCCUGACGUCCUUUGCUAUUUGGGCCGAGUCCCUGGCUGGACAUGACAAUAAAA
This 330-nucleotide small RNA is filed under the name Histoplasma capsulatum. RNAcentral's name for it is "hypothetical RNA". Lineage: Eukaryota; Fungi; Ascomycota; Eurotiomycetes; Onygenales; Ajellomycetaceae. RNAcentral also lists the same sequence under 1 other name. The record is from RNAcentral.